AAAAAAUAAAAUAGGUAAUACUUUUGUAUAUUUCUUUUAGAAAAUGAAAUUAGAGUUAUCGAGGAGGUGGUUGCGGAGGUCCAUCGGGACGCCGAAAGCGUCGACCCGAAGACAGAUGUAACUCAGAACCAUAAUAAGAACAGACGGGGACGUGGACGGGAUCGGGAACGUGGACGAGAUCGGGGACGUGGACGAGGGCCACGUCGACAUCGUGGUCGAGUGUUACAAGAAGAAGCAAAGAAGACCAUCAGCUCACCGCCACCGGCUCCGCCGACAUCGGCGCAGCAAGAUGCCCCCUCACUAGGGGGCAAUACAUUUAUAUUUAAUUUUCAUUACCAUUUUAAAUAAACAUACUUAAAUUAUAUACCAGAACCAUAAUAAGAACAGACGGGGACGUGGACGGGAUCGGGAACGUGGACGUGGGCCACGUCGACAUCGUGGUCGAGUGUUACAAGAAGAAGCAAAGAAGACCAUCAGCUCACCGCCACCGGCUCCGCCGACAUCGGCGCAGCAAGAUGCCCCCUCACUAGGGGGCAAUACAUUUAUAUUUAAUUUUCAUUACCAUUUUAAAUAAACAUACUUAAAUUAUAUACCAGAACCAUAAUAAGAACAGACGGGGACGUGGACGGGAUCGGGAACGUGGACGUGGGCCACGUCGACAUCGUGGUCGAGUGUUACAA
Photinus pyralis (common eastern firefly) is the source of this 680-nucleotide long non-coding RNA. RefSeq lists it as uncharacterized. Lineage: Eukaryota; Metazoa; Arthropoda; Insecta; Coleoptera; Lampyridae. The transcript has 4 exons. The record is from RefSeq and is a predicted model, not a curated record.